CCUUGACAUGCAGAGAACUUUCCAGAGAUGGAUUGGUGGCCUUCGGGAACUCUGACACAGGUGCUGCAUGGCUGUCGUCAGCUCGUGUCGUGAGAUGUUGGGUUAAGUCCCGUAACGAGCGCAACCCUUGUCCUUAGUUACCAGCACGUUAUGGUGGGCACUCUAAGGAGACUGCCGGUGGACAAACCGGAGGAAGGUGGGGGAUGACGUCAAGUCAUCAUGGCCCUUACGGCCUGGGCUACACACGUGCUACAAUGGUCGGUACAAAGGGUUGCCAAGCCGCGAGGUGGAGCUAAUCCCAUAAAACCGAUCGUAGUCCGGAUCGCAGUCUGCAACUCGACUGCGUGAAGUCGGAAUCGCUAGUAAUCGUGAAUCAGAAUGUCACGGUGAAUACGUUCCCGGGCCUU
Molecule: ribosomal RNA, 407 nt
Filed under: uncultured Pseudomonas sp.
Lineage: Bacteria; Pseudomonadati; Pseudomonadota; Gammaproteobacteria; Pseudomonadales; Pseudomonadaceae
Description: bacterial SSU rRNA
Rfam family: Bacterial small subunit ribosomal RNA
Source: RNAcentral